Biomphalaria glabrata is the source of this 2671-nucleotide long non-coding RNA. RefSeq lists it as uncharacterized. Lineage: Eukaryota; Metazoa; Mollusca; Gastropoda; Planorbidae. The transcript is spliced from 6 exons. The record is from RefSeq and is a predicted model, not a curated record.
GCUUCAACAUUCAAGUUUUUUUUUUUUAAAGACAGACUCUACAUGCUACUGAUCUGGAGGUUAGUGGCUCAAUCAUUGUGCACUGAUUCUUCACUGAUGCCUUGAUUCCCCACUGUCAACUUUAUUGUCAUAAAGUUUAUCUAGUGAUCUACAUAUCAAGACUAAAUGGUCAAUUAAACAUGAGGUCAAGGAAAAAGGAUGAACAUUUCAAGGCUACUGAAGGAACAUUAAACGUCUCUCUCACUGUGAAAAGAUUCUACCGAUCUACAAAUGAUCAACAUGUUUUAUCUUAAGUUCGUCUGCCAUUUCUUCAAAUUGAGCCAUAUUAAGAAUAAGGUUCAAAUGUAUCAGUUGUUUUUGUUGACAGAUAUCAAGUAAUUUCAGUUCUCAAUUAUUUUGUGCACCAAGUUACAAGAAAAAAUUCAAGCAAGAGAGGUCAUUACACUAAGACUUUGUCUUCUCAUAAGAAAGGAUGGCUGCCUGGUCAUGUGAUAUGUGCACUGGACUGUGUAUGGUCAUCUUGAUGCUCAUAUCUUGCCUGAUGACAUUUAUUCUGCUGAACAUUUGGUCAAGGAAGUAGAUUCUCUUCAGCUCUCAAGAAACAUUCAAAACAUGUCAAACAUUCGACAAGAAUAUCAAGUGCAAUGUACAUACCAACAUGAUGAAAAGGUAGACAACAUGAAAAUGUAGACCAACAUGAUGAAGAUGUAGACCAACAUGAAGAUGUAGACCAACAUGAAGAUGAAAUGUAAACCAAAAAAAUGGGUCAAGAGAUGUAUGGAAUACAAUGUGAACAUCUUGAGAAGUAAAACAAUUCCUAGAGGCAAAGACACAGACACACCGGAUCUAUUAGAGAUUUUCCUUUUCUACCAUCAUUUAGAGACUUCCUUGUGCUCUAAGGGAACUAAUUGGCAUUGAUGUUUUUACAUUCCUACUGCGUCUGAAAGAAAUUAACAUUUCCCUAAUGCUACUUCAAAACCAGACCUUCUCAAGACAAUUUUAGUGACCAAGCUGCAAUAUGGGACUCAGUAGGAAACAAUGAAGAAUACUCCUAACCUCAGGUUGAGUAACCAUGCUCACCUACUAGAGUGGCGACAAAUACUUCUACACCCACAGUUAUACAUCCUGAACCCUGUAACCCAACCUCACAACAUGGUUACAUUACCGGAAGUGGUCGCAAGGUCGGAAAACCUAACAGAUACAAUGUAUAGAACAAUGAACAGGUACAAGUACUCAAGUGAUGUACUUUGUGAGAACUAUUUAGGUGGAAUCACCAUAAUUGACUUGUAUAAAUCUUGUUCUAUAUUUAGGUAUAUCUUGACAAUCAGUCCAGUCAUUUGUUCAUUUUUUUUUUAAAUAUUCCUUUUUUUUCCCUCAAUCUUCUUGUUGUUUCAGUUACAUGUUUUUGUAUUUUGAAGGAGGAAGGUGCUUUGGUAUAUUAUCGUUAUUAUUAUUGUACCAGUAUUAAGCAAACUUGUAUAUCUUUAAUUAUUCAUGAAUUCUAAAGCAGAACGUCACUUCCACCGGAAAAUGUUGUAACAACUAUACGUGUCUUCAGUUAACAUUCAAUACUCUGUACAGUCACAACGCCAAAGCCUUGCUAGAUUAUGCUUUUAAUUCAAUUUGUUAUCUCCCCUGCUUUAGUGUGCUAUCAUAUAAUUUUUUGUGUCACAUCCCUGCACAAUUUGUUCUAUGCUUUUUUACAGUAUAAAUAGCGACUUGACAUUAUUUAGCUCUAUUAUAAUAUUGUUAUAUUAUUAUAUUUCAAAUAAAACUGUUAACAUAUUCUAUGCUGUUAUAAUAUAAAUGUUUUGCUGUUACCAUGAAUACAGUUUUGAGUUUUUGUCUGAUUUCUUAGAGGAGAAAUUUUUCAUAAAUAAUAAUAAUAAGGCUUAUCUUCAAGUCCGAAGAUUAGUGAGAAGUAUGCAGUAUUCCCCAGCUAGGACCUACAUAUUUUGCUAUAAAUAAAGAGUAUAAUAAUAUUUACUACUUGGUAUUGUCAGUCUUCACUAAAGCAAUGAGUUUAUCCCCUUAGUGUGUUUAAAAUUUUCAAAUACUAAUUCACUUUGUAUUAUCUAUUGGUGAUCAUGGGGUAUCCACUUUGUCAUCUCCAUAGUCUCUGGUGUUAACACUUAGUGUCCUGUUGGAGGUUACGGCUAAGAUGUUAUCUCUCUUUCUGAUGGAACACAUGUAAAACCAACAAAACAAACAUUAGACCUAGACUUUAUUAACAGGUAAAUUUUUAUAAUUGUGAACUGGCGCUCCCAAAGCUACUUUUAUGUAUUUUAAAUUUUACUUCUGUAGGCUAGUGCUAAGCUGUAUACUUGUAUUUCUGCCUAUUAUAUGGGUUAGGGUGGAGUACUUAAAAUAGAGCCUAUGCUGUUUCCUGUACUGUUGACCAGUGGUCUCUGUCAGUUUUAAUUAUUCUGUACCUGGGACUGCCUGUAAGUUUCAGAAUUUUUCUUUUAUUUUUUUAAAUUUUACUAUGUGUAAAUCUGUUUUAUAUUUGAACAACUGUCAAAAUAACUAGCAGUUUUUUUUUUCUAAAGUUUGUUUUAAAACUAUGGCCAAGCCCUGCCCAGUGCUGUCAUGAUGGCCACUUCUAAUGUUUAUGUACUAGAUUGUAACUGCUGCCUUAGUCAUUGAAAUUAAAGUCUCAUUUUUGAAUUUC